CACACAUGGUAAUAUCUGAUACAAUGAAACCAUUUCCAAAUAAUGUAUGUAAUUUAUAUUUUUUUAUGUUUAUAGAAGGCCAGCCUCCAUCUCCCACAAAGAGCAAAGAAGAGCAGCCUGAGGAAAUGCAGGAUGAUGCUGAAGGUGGCAAUGGCACAGUGGAUAAGCAAAACAGCGAUGAAAAUAAGACUCAGAGCCAAGAAUCAGGUGAAACAAAACCUUCAGCUGUAGCCAGCCUAUCAUCAGAAGAUAUUGAGCUGAGUGAGAAUAAAGAUUCCCCGAAAGACUCCAAAGGCGCGCAGAAGGGUGAUUCAGUGCAUCCUGUGAUGUGUGAACAAGAUCAAGCCAAAGGACAACAGGAUGUUUCUGCAAAUGAGGAGAUAAAAACUGGGGAAGAUUCCCAAGAUUCCUGCAUGGAAAUAGAAGAUCCACUGUUGAACCAAGAAGGCACAACAGAGGCUGAGAUUCCUUUGAUACUUGGUGCAGAGGAAAAGGCAGAAGGAAAAGCAGAAGGAGGGAUACAAGAGCAAGAGGAAACUUCCAUGGAGCCUCUGAAAAUUGACCUUGCAAGUCAAGCAGCAGAUGUUUCAAAUAAGGAUGCUGAAAUGAAUAGUCAAGUUGAAAGUAUAAAUGAUCCAAUGGAAACAGAGCAGAAAGCUUAAGUAACAGGAAGGAUGCAGGAGAGGAGGGACCCAAGGAACCCUAGGGGCAGGCGCUGACAUCCUCCAGCAUCAUCCUUGGCCGAAAAGAGCACACAGAGAUGAUCAGCGGGUUGGGAGGGGGGGAGCUUCUGGGGGAAUGAGUCUUUGCUUUUAAUUUCUCUUUGUUCUCCAUUGCAUUUCACUCUGUAAGUCUGUUGGAAAGGUUCACAACUUCCCAGGUCUAACAGUGUUUUGCAAUCAACCCUGCAUUUACAACAGUUUCUUCUGAAAUGUGAGUCCCUCUCUUACACUGGGUCUUUUUUCCUCCUGCAUCAUACCAUCAGUAGCCUGUUUCCAGGCCCACCCCUUUUCUAGCAUCUUUACCUUCUUUCUUUCCCAUCAUCAGCCUAUGCUGUGCCAUGUCCUUACAUGUGAAUAACACACGUGGCCUCAAACAGCCAGCCCCCUCAAUCCUGCUUUUCCCAGUUGGUUCUGCACAUCUCAAAACCAGUGCUGUCAGUAUGACCUUUGGGCACAGGUGGGCAACAGACAUUUCCUCAGUGCUGGAAAGACUCUGCAUUAGAGGCAUCUUUAAAUACAGCUCCCAGCUUUAACAGCUUCACACAGUGGCUUUUGUGAGCCCUCAUUACAUUUUCCACUGCAUAUGCAUGGAUUUUAAUUUUUUUUUAAAAAAAGCAAUUAACAGUUAUUUGGAUAAGAAUGUCUCUCCAUAUGUCAAUUGUUCUGCCAGUAAAUGCUGCACUGAAAUCUGUAGAAAAGGAACAAAAGGUUUUCAUGUACGUUUCCCAACUGUACUGUAACUGAAACUGAUGGAAAAUACACUGGAUGGAAGAGCAUGCAGCCUGUGCUACACACUGUAUUUUAAAGUGCUGCUAGAAUAAUUUAGCCAUUUUAAGCAAUGUAAUUGAUCCUAAUUUGAUAAUUUUAAGAAAAAUAUUUGGUCCUGUACUCUUUUUUUUUUUCACCCAAAAUACUCCUGAAUCACAGAAUAGAUAUUUAAUAUCUGGCCAGGAAAAAAAAAAGUAAAACAUAAGGUAAGACAUAUGUCUAUCCUGCUGUGAUCUGGGUUCAAUGAUAAAUCCUGUGCUGGAGUAACAGCAAGUCAAGGCACUAACACAGGCUAUGACAGUCAAUGGUUGUUAAUUUAGGAGGGUGUCAAGGAAAAACAAGAUUAGAAAGGAAAGCAGGAAAAGCACCAGAUUGCUCACAGAGAGUACGUACAGCUCCUAGAAAAUACAGCUCCUCCCCUCCUCUGUGGGACUCCAGCCUGUUUGUUGAGGUGGGAUCAGAAGGGAAUUUCUGUGUGCUGCCUCCAGUGUGAGUCACACCAGGUGUGACUGGUGCCAGAGGGGCUCUCAAAGAGCUUCUCCAUCACCUGGACAGCUCCAAAUUGGAUAAAAUGCAGGAGUAAAUGUGCUAAUGUUAGUCUAUUAAUUGGUUUGAGAAUUUUGCUAAGAUAGUCUUUUAUGGUAUACUCUGUUAAUCCGUUUGAGAAUUUUGCUAAGAUUACUUGUAUUUGGUAACUACCAUUCUUCUGCCUCUUGUUCUCUCCAAAUACUCUUGAGGGAACUCCUUGUUCCCUUUGAGGUGCCUCUGAUGCUCUCCUUUCCCAGCCUUGGGGUCAUGCUUGGCAGAACAUGUCUUUUGGGAUGUGGAUUAUUUUGCAUGGUCCCCUCUGUUUCUGUGCAUUUCUCACACUGUGGUGUUGUGAUUGGAACAGGCUGUCACAACAGGCAAGUCAGGAGUGGAUAAAUACAUCAGGAGGUGGUAGAAUGUGAUAACCUCAGCGUUCUGUCCAGCGCCCUGAAUGUAGUUCUGUACCUCUCCUGAUCGUGCUUCCCCAUGGCCAGCAUUAACAUCAGCCAGGAAUCAGAUGUCAGAAUCUUUCUUCACCAACUUUGGCUUUAGCAAGGGAGCCAAAGGGGGUUGGAUGCUGAGGUGUGGUCAUUCAGAAGGAGAUAAAGAUUCCUUAAAUGUCUUGUGAAGUCUGACUGGCAGUUAAAGAAAAUAAAAAUAGCUGCAAAGAUGCA
This 2692-nucleotide long non-coding RNA is filed under the name Junco hyemalis (dark-eyed junco). RNAcentral describes it as "lncRNA (ENSJHYG00000013472.1)". Lineage: Eukaryota; Metazoa; Chordata; Aves; Passeriformes; Passerellidae. The record is from RNAcentral.